Amphiprion ocellaris (clown anemonefish) is the source of this 1514-nucleotide long non-coding RNA. RefSeq lists it as uncharacterized. The transcript is spliced from 3 exons. The record is from RefSeq and is a predicted model, not a curated record. NCBI's taxonomy places the organism in Eukaryota, Metazoa, Chordata, Actinopteri, Pomacentridae.
GUGGACACGCCCCCUCCAUUACUCAGCACACGCUUCGAAACCUCGGCACAUCAGGUCACAUCACUAGUCGGCACGUCUGGUAGCAUCUCUGGCUGCUGUUGACCUUGUUUUUGGAGUAAAACACGGUGGAAGCUGAAUUAGUGAGGAUGACUCCUGCUCCUGUCAUCUCUAAGCUCCUCACACAUCUUUACCUGCACAUGAGGAAAAUCACUCCUGUAGAAUGCAGAUGUUCAGAGGGAGAUGAUGCCACAUCUGGUCCAGCUGAUGGAAGGUCUUGAAGUUCUCUGACUGGCCUCGACUGAAGAUGGUCGUCUCACUGGAUUUAAGGUUCAGAUACUCAGUAACAAACUCCACCAAUGUGCCAACAGGGAAGCUUUAGGUUUAUUAAAUGUUGCUAUGAAGGUAUCACUGUUUUUCUUUGUGAAUGCAAUGUGCUCCAACUGAAACUUGAAUUACAACUUAAAAGUAAAUCCUUCCAUCUGAAAGGAUUUAGUUGCAUUAAUAACCUCAUAACAUUCUAAUUUUUAUUCCAGUCUUGGUUGGAAAUAGAAUCUCUGUAUUGAUUCAGGUAAAAACUGAACUUCACAGCAUGUUGGAGCAAAACAACCAGAUGAAAACUGUGAUGGUGUUGGAUUAUCAGACCGUAAUGUUGCAGCUCAAAGCAGCUUUUCUAGCUCAGUUCAUUCUGACAUUCAGCUAUGAAUCAACACAGCAGAUGGUGAUCCAUGCUGUGGAAGUCUCACAUCUCCUCAUUUAAUGGAGCUGCUUUGCACUUUUUACACUGUUUAUUCACCAACACUUUAUUUAAUAAAAGUCCCAUCUAGUUUUUAUGAGGAAUGUGAUGUUUUAAUUUCUCUGUGAAUAACUGCAGUCUAAUGCAACAGCUGGAGUUGUAACAUCUGUCCUGAUGUUGAUCAUGAAGUAUUGAUCAGAAUACUUAUGGUCAGCAGUCAUCCCUGAAGUUUUACAUUAAAAUCUUUACUUGUGUCGUGAACUUUGGUAAGAAGCAGAAACUUUAGCGUUGCCAUGGAUACUUGAGUGUUAAAUUCUGUCCAUGUUUCCAUUUUGGGAAAUGCAGUCCAGUUCCAGAAUGUGGAGGAAUUUAGUCUCACAGUCACAGACAACAAAUAUUAUCUGAAAGUCAGGUUAUUGUUGUUUAUCAGCACAGUACAAAAAGAUUAAUGUUAGAAAUAUUCCAGUUAAGACUCUAGAAUAUCAUGAUUUAUGUAAAUUUACCUCGAUAAUAUAAAUGUUCAGGUUAAGAUUGUACAGUGAUAUUUAUUAUGUAAGUUUAUCUGAUUAAAGUUUAUGACUCUGCACUAAAAUAUUAUUUAAAUUGACAUCAUUAUUAUAAUAUUUAGGGUCAGACCCUACAGUAUUGAGAUUAAGAAAUCAAAUAUUCUAUAAAAGGUCCAAGAGUCUCACCCAACAAACAACCUACAGAGUGAAGACCUCGAAUCUGAUUGGACGGCCUCCUAUUCAGCCACAUGUGUGAACAAAUGCCUCUAAGCUGA